GCCCCGGGAGGAAAGGGGGACUGUUAGCAGCAUAGGAUUGAGGAGUUGGAAGAGACCUUUAAGACAGCUGGUCAUUAUGCCGACCGGGUGUCCGCGCUAAGUUCGGUAUCAAUAUGGUGACCUCCUGGGAGCAGGAGGCCAUCAGGUUGCCUAAGGACAGGAGAACUGGCCCAGGUCAGAAAGGGACCCAGGUCAGGACUCCCGCACCAAUCAGUAGUGGGACUGUUCCUGGGCAAUAUAGCAAGAUCUUGGUUCUUAAAAGUAAAAAUACAGAACAGCUCAU
Molecule: signal recognition particle RNA, 283 nt
Filed under: Piliocolobus tephrosceles (Ugandan red Colobus)
Lineage: Eukaryota; Metazoa; Chordata; Mammalia; Primates; Cercopithecidae
Description: Metazoan signal recognition particle RNA (ENSPTEG00000036018.1)
Rfam family: Metazoan signal recognition particle RNA (bases 50-257)
About the family: The signal recognition particle (SRP) is a universally conserved ribonucleoprotein. It is involved in the co-translational targeting of proteins to membranes. The eukaryotic SRP consists of a 300-nucleotide 7S RNA and six proteins: SRPs 72, 68, 54, 19, 14, and 9.
Source: RNAcentral